RNAcentral lists this unclassified non-coding RNA (516 nucleotides) under Hevea brasiliensis (rubber tree). The record is from RNAcentral. Lineage: Eukaryota; Viridiplantae; Streptophyta; Magnoliopsida; Malpighiales; Euphorbiaceae.
GGCAAAGGUAGUUUUCUUUAACUGAUUUUCAGGGUUUGGUGCAUUGCCUAUUGGCUACCUGGACUACUGUAAUUUGAUUUACACCAACUACACAAGCUUCCAAUGCUCCUUUGGUGGCUACAUGUGCAAGAUUGAAUUAAAGAUCAACUACAACCAAGCAAUGGUGGAUAUCUACCAUAAUUUAUAAUAAAUUUUUUUGACAGGUGGAUGGCCUAGUCUUUUUUCCUUCCUCUUCAAGAUUAAUCUGUGGGCUUCGGAAAACUUGAAGCCAAGAAAGAAAACAGAUAAGGAAGUCUCUGGAUUGAAAGAAAGUGCCUCUCUUUUCAAGCAUCCAUAAUCCAUAUCCUUAAACAAAAUUUAAGCUAACAACAGUAGUACUGAUGGAAAUGGUGGCUUUAGCCAUAAUCCAUCCACGUCAUGGCAACUUAACUUGGCAUUCCCAAUCUGAUGACAUGUAAAGCAUUCCAAUGACGUAAAAUCCCAUUUUAAUUUUAUAUAUAUACACAUAUAAGUGCG